This 1098-nucleotide long non-coding RNA is filed under the name Canis lupus familiaris (dog). RNAcentral describes it as "lncRNA (ENSCAFG00000056146.1)". Lineage: Eukaryota; Metazoa; Chordata; Mammalia; Carnivora; Canidae. The record is from RNAcentral.
CAGAAGCCUCGCUCCCGGGAGGUUCCCACUUUCUCCUCCAAAGCAGUUUUGCGGGGGGAGGGGGAGGGGGCGGGGGGGCGCGUCUGAGGUUCUGUCUAAUCCCCCGCGUCCGGCGCGUGCCCGCAGACCCUCUGCACGCCCCUGCCCUGCCCUGCCCUGCCCUGCCCUGCGGGCCUCGGGCAUCAGACCCCCCAGAGCGCGCCCCGUAAGCUCCGCGCACAAAUCCCCUCGGAAACAUUAAUCACAACCAGCAGUGAAUGCAAAAUGUGUGCCCGUGCCGGGUCUGCUGUUUAAUCCCGACUGUAAUUCUGGAAAGCGGCAUCGGAAAGGGGUUUUAUUAAUCCCCUCCACGAACAAAUACAAUCUCUGACCUACUAGACUUGUCUUCCUGAAAUUUCACGAAGAGUCGGUCUCACUAGAGGAAUGCCCAAAGGUCAGAAAGCUGUGAGAAACUUGAGGGGCAUCGAUGCAGUGAUGUGGUGCGCUUGAGCCAAAAGGCGCACGGGCCGGGGAGUGGAAUCCCUGGUCGGGGGUCCUGAAAUUCUCCAGGACGAGGAGGUGGGUGAGGGCCGGUGAGGGCGAGUCAGCUGAGUGGCAGGCACCUGAGGAGGCUGGGAGAGGGAACCCAGUUCUCCUCCUUCCACAGGCUUGCACCCCAAGUGACCUAAUCUGGCGGCUGCCUCCUCACGAAGGCGCUAGGGCUGGCGGACGGGCUAGCAGAGGAAAUCGAAAAAGAUGGUGAAGGGUCGGGCCAAUAAAUUAGCCUCAGGGAUGGAGAUGCAGACAGACGGAUGGGGUUGUAUGGAUACAGAUACACAAGGAAAACCAAAGCUAUUCAGUCUCCUCAUUUGUCCAGCAGCCUCACAGUGGUGCCCUUUCUCUGCUGCUGCUUUCCCUGCUUCGGGAGCAGCAGUUAUGGUAGAAGCAGAUGGCUACUGAUUGGGGGAGCUUUGUGGCUCUAAUACUGAAUACUUUAUGGAAAAGGACUUUAUCAUGCUUCGCUGGGCAGAGGAACAAGGGGGUGAGAUUUAUGGCCAGGAAAAAUAAAUCUUUUCCAAGUUGUGGCUCCUUCUCACCAGUUGUCUCUUUUGCUGGUGG